This is a non-coding RNA of Trichuris suis (pig whipworm), 72 nucleotides long. The record is from Rfam. NCBI's taxonomy places the organism in Eukaryota, Metazoa, Nematoda, Enoplea, Trichinellida, Trichuridae.
GGGUUAGUGGUCUAGUGGCAUGAUUCUCGCUUUGGGUGCGAGAGGUCCGGGGUUCGAUUCCCCGCUAACCCC